GUCUCUCUCGCUGGCUUUUUAAAAAUGAGGAACCGCUCCUUGAAUGUUCUGGACAGAGCACAGAAUUGCUUCUUAAGUCAGCCCGGCGCGGUUGCAAUAGACAGCAAAAAGGUAAACGUUUGCCUGAAAUCCGCACGCCAGCUCCACCGCCCCGCCCGAUGGUCCCAGUUCCUCUGGGAAUCGUCCUGUAUGCAACAUCUUCACAAGAGUGGCAGGCAGUUGAAUCUCUGGCCUUCGUGGGACCACUGGACAUCUGGCAGAGAACCAGGAAACCACGGUUCCCUUCUGUGAGUCCCUCAGCCGGAAAACUACAAGCUCCUCAUGCAGCUGCUGUCUACAGACCCCCUGGACUGCCUGGGGAAGUGAGUCGGAGCUCCUGCAGCAGAGGGGUGGAACAGCUACACGAAGAUCCGAAGGUGGCCAAAAAUAACAGCGCUUUCCAGAUGAGGGAGCCAGUUGUCCAGCACAGUGUCAUGGGACAGUGGGCCCUGGUGCCACAAUGCCCGGCAUCUCCA
RNAcentral lists this long non-coding RNA (515 nucleotides) under Homo sapiens (human). RNAcentral's name for it is "non-protein coding NR2F2-AS1:9". Lineage: Eukaryota; Metazoa; Chordata; Mammalia; Primates; Hominidae. The record is from RNAcentral.